Molecule: long non-coding RNA, 453 nt
Organism: Rana temporaria (common frog)
Lineage: Eukaryota; Metazoa; Chordata; Amphibia; Anura; Ranidae
Exons: 4
Source: RefSeq, a predicted model, not a curated record
CAGGUAAGCAGCUGUUCAGUGUACUGGCGCUACUCUGUUACCAGGGACACACUCAGCUAUACAAUAUACUGCAACACUAAGGACUUUAACGCCUUUGCCUAUUAUCCUUUCCAUACCCAUGGACUAAGGUCAGUUAGGUAGGCGGUUAUUUAGACAGAUUUACCCAUCUGUUUUUCUAUGUCCGAUUAAUACACUGUAUGCACUAGCUGGGUGUGUGAACAUAUACCUGGAUCAGAUUCAUUGUUCGUUGCUUACCAGCAAUCAACUGCCAUACCACCGCAUGCAAUUUAGUUCUGCUUUUUCUUUAUGAUUAUACUCUCCUAUCUGGUUGAAACAAUUUCCUUGUGAAUUACAAUCAGUGAUAGGCCAAUAAAAGACCGUUCGUUGAUUACCACCAACGCGGGAUACCCCUUAAUGAAAUAUCUAUGCUCCUGAGGAAGCGCUAAUUCCAUA